Molecule: long non-coding RNA, 420 nt
Organism: Drosophila grimshawi
Lineage: Eukaryota; Metazoa; Arthropoda; Insecta; Diptera; Drosophilidae
Exons: 3
Source: RefSeq, a predicted model, not a curated record
GAGUUGUACGUGUUUUGCUUUGUCGGUCGGUCAGUCGGUAUUUUUCCCCCGCUGAAAAAUAAGAAUUAAAACCCAAACUAAAUUGAUGAAAUAUUGUGCAAUUGUAAUGAAAAGUGCAAAUUGUGUACUAAUUUGAAGCGACGCAAGAACGUGCAGCAAAGCGAACAAAAACAAAAACAGCGAGUGCGUUUUUUUAAGUAGCCGUAACUAUAAACGCGGCUAAGCCGCAGCCAGUAAAGUACGAACAGCUAGCGAGAAGCAGCCAAAAAAGUUGAUUAUUCCGUCUAAUUAAAAAAAGGUAGACAAGCGUGAACAAUGCGCAGACAGUUGCUGGCUGAGGUCGCUGGCAGGACACCAACCGAAAGGAUAAUCAACAACAACAACGCACAGCAACCAGCUAAGCUGUAACAACAACAACAA